This 72-nucleotide transfer RNA is filed under the name Camelus bactrianus (Bactrian camel). It matches the Rfam family "tRNA". From Rfam's summary of the family: Transfer RNA (tRNA) molecules are approximately 80 nucleotides in length. Their secondary structure includes four short double-helical elements and three loops (D, anti-codon, and T loops). Lineage: Eukaryota; Metazoa; Chordata; Mammalia; Artiodactyla; Camelidae. RNAcentral also lists the same sequence under 1 other name. The record is from Rfam by way of RNAcentral.
AGGGAUAUAGCUCAGUAGUAGAGUGCAUGCUUAGCAUGCACGAGGUCCUGGGUUCAAUCCCCAAUAGCUUCA